AUACAGAGAGUGCAAGCGUUAAUCGGAAUUACUGGGCGUAAAGCGCGCGUAGGUGGAUACUUCAGUCGGAUGUGAAAGCCCCAGGCUUAACCUGGGAAUUGCACUCGAUACUGGGUAUCUUGAGUAUGGUAGAGGGAAGUGGAAUUUCCGGUGUAGCGGUGAAAUGCGUAGAUAUCGGAAAGAACACCAGUGGCGAAGGCGACUUCCUGGACCAAUACUGACACUGAGGUGCGAAAGCGUGGGGAGCAAACAGGAUUAGAUACCCCGGUAGUCC
This 274-nucleotide ribosomal RNA is filed under the name uncultured bacterium. RNAcentral's name for it is "partial 16S ribosomal RNA". It matches the Rfam family "Bacterial small subunit ribosomal RNA", at positions 523 to 796 of the family's 1533-position model. The record is from RNAcentral.